RNAcentral lists this ribosomal RNA (253 nucleotides) under uncultured bacterium. Its description in RNAcentral is "partial 16S ribosomal RNA". It matches the Rfam family "Bacterial small subunit ribosomal RNA", at positions 524 to 776 of the family's 1533-position model. The record is from RNAcentral.
UACGUAGGUGGCAAGCGUUGUCCGGAAUUAUUGGGCGUAAAGCGCGCGCAGGCGGUUUCUUAAGUCUGAUGUGAAAGCCCACGGCUCAGCCGUGGAGGGUCAUUGGAAACUGGGAGACUUGAGUGCAGAAGAGAAGAGCGGAAUUCCACGUGUAGCGGUGAAAUGCGUAGAGAUGUGGAGGAACACCAGUGGCGAAGGCGGCUCUUUGGUCUGUAACUGACGCUGAGGCGCGAAAGCGUGGGGAUCAAACAGG